AUACGAAGGGGGCUAGCGUUGUUCGGAUUUACUGGGCGUUAAAGCGCACGUAGGCGGACUUUUAAGUCAGGGGUGAAAUCCCGGGGCUCAACCCCGGAACUGCCUUUGAUACUGGAAGUCUUGAGUAUGGAAGAGGUAAGUGGAAUUGCGAGUGUAGAGGUGAAAUUCGUAGAUAUUCGCAGGAACACCAGUGGCGAAGGCGGCUUACUGGUCCAUUACUGACGCUGAGGUGCGAAAGCGUGGGGAGC
This 248-nucleotide ribosomal RNA is filed under the name uncultured bacterium. RNAcentral describes it as "partial 16S ribosomal RNA". It matches the Rfam family "Bacterial small subunit ribosomal RNA", at positions 523 to 769 of the family's 1533-position model. The record is from RNAcentral.